CAGUAGCCGCGGUAAUACGAAGGGGGCUAGCGUUGUUCGGAAUUACUGGGCGUAAAGGGCGCGUAGGCGGCCAUUCAAGUUAGAUGUGAAAGCCCUGGGCUCAACCUAGGAAUUGCAUUUGAUACUGUUUGGCUUGAGUUCGGGAGAGGUGAGUGGAAUUCCCAGUGUAGAGGUGAAAUUCGUAGAUAUUCGGAAGAACACCAGUGGCGAAGGCGACUGACUGGACAAGUAUUGACGCUGAGGUGCGAAAGCGUGGGGAGCAAACAGGAUUAGAGACCCCCGUAGUCCCUGUCUCUUAUAC
Molecule: ribosomal RNA, 301 nt
Filed under: uncultured bacterium
Lineage: Bacteria
Description: partial 16S ribosomal RNA
Rfam family: Bacterial small subunit ribosomal RNA
Source: RNAcentral